Sarcophilus harrisii (Tasmanian devil) is the source of this 427-nucleotide long non-coding RNA. RefSeq lists it as uncharacterized. NCBI's taxonomy places the organism in Eukaryota, Metazoa, Chordata, Mammalia, Dasyuromorphia, Dasyuridae. The record is from RefSeq and is a predicted model, not a curated record. The transcript has 3 exons.
UUCCACAGACCACCCCAUCCCUCCCCUCCCCUCCGGCUGUCCGUGUCCUCCCUCCUAGAGAUCUCAGAGCUGCGGCUGAAGACCUGCGGCUGGAGACCUGCGUGGCGUGUCGCGUCUCCACCCGUCCGGUGCCGGUGCCGUAUCCUUCCCCCAAAGCCUCACAACCCCGCCCCACCCGCAAGAUCCCGCUGCUGCCUGGACCGGUGACCAUGGCCGGGUUUUCCCAGUGCGGCGGAGACACCAGGUGUGCUAGAUUGUAACGGGGAUCCCCCCACCCAUCUCCGAGAACAGCCUCGUCCAUGGAUCGGCCCCCUCUUCGGACCUCGACACACCACAGCGCUCGUGACUGUUAGCUGGCCGAGUUCCCAAAAGAAGAUCGCUUCAGGCUUCUCCAUAGCACGGAAUCGUCGUUGCUGACCCCCUAACC